Molecule: long non-coding RNA, 2798 nt
Filed under: Homo sapiens (human)
Lineage: Eukaryota; Metazoa; Chordata; Mammalia; Primates; Hominidae
Description: PREDICTED lncRNA (TCONS_00026661)
Source: RNAcentral
CGCAGCGCCCCCUCGUAGCCGCCUCCGCCCGCAGAAAGGCGUUCCCUGGACAGAGAAGCGGGCGCGCGGGGGCGGGCGCGCGGGGCCUUGCCGGAGAACCUGACUCUCCGCAGCAGCAGUGGAAGCCGGAGUGACGCGUUGUGUUGAACACCAGUUUUCUGGAGCGCUGUGUGUUCUUAACAGCUGAGCAGUCUGUUUCUCCAAUCAGGUUUCAAAGCCACUUCAACUGCACUGGCCCCUGUGGGUCACUGCUGCACCGCCCUGACCCAUGUGGGUCCCUGAGGAGCGACCUGCCGGGGCCACCUGGCUGGACGAAAAAGACACACCUUGGACUUAAGCCGUGAGAAAAAAACUUCAUCAGUAAGAAGAAUGAAUAAACAGACUAGGUUGAAUCCAUACAAUGGAAUGUUAGCAGACAAUAAAAAGAAAAUGAACUAUUGAUGUCCCCUACUGCACAGCAGAAGCUCUGAAUCGUGUUCCUGAAUGAAAGAAGUCAGGUGAAAAUCAAAAUUAAGGCAGAAAUAAAAAAAUCUUUGAAAGUAAUGAAAAUGGAGAUACAACUUAACAAAGUCUCUGGGAUACAGCCAAAGCAGUGUUAAGAGGAAAGUUUAUAACGUUAAAUGCCUUCACCAAGAAGUUAAAACAAUCUCAAAUUAACAGUCUAACUUUGCACCUAGAAGAACUAGAGAAAAAGAGCAAACCAACCCCAAAGCUAGCAGAAGAAAAUAAAUAACUAAAAUUAAAGAAGAACUUAAUGAAAUUGAGAUGCAAAAAUCCAUACAAAAGAUAAAUGAAACCAAAAGUUGAUUUUCAAAAAAAUAAACAAGACUGAGAGACCACUAGCUAGAUUAACAAAGAAAAAAGAAUUUCCAAAUAAGUACUGUCAGAAAUGACAAAGAUAUUACAAUUCAUCUUCAUUUGCAGAUGAAGAUACUGCAGCUUUGUCAGCAGACUAAGUCACCUAAAUGCUCUGCCAGAAGCAGAAUUUGUACUCAGGAAUGUCCAACUGCAAAGUCCAUGUGCUUGAACAGUAUGGCGUACUGAUACAUGCAGAAAUACAAAAGAUCCUCAGAAAAUACUGUGAGUAAUUCUAUGCACACAAAUUAGAAAAUCUAGAGGAAAUGGAUAAAUUCCUGGGAACAUACAAUCUCCCAAGAUUGAAUCAGGAAGAGACUGAUACCCUGACUAGACCAAUAUCAAGCUCUGAAAUUAAACGAAUAAUAAAAAACCUACCAACGACAACAACAAAAAGCCCUGGACUAGAUGGAUUCACAGCUAAAUUCUAUCAGACAUACAAAGAACUGGUACCAAUCCUACUGAUUAAACCUCUUUAGGUUCUGCUUUUUGUAUUGUUAAAAUCUUCAUUUUUGGUUUUCUAACAGUCUCUGAUUCAAACAUUCGUUACCAAUAAACAAUCCAGGUAGCCUCACCCUGAGUGGCAGCCUGGCUGGGUGAGUUCUAAAAAUGCCCAAGACCUCCAAGACUAGGUGAGAUCUGAAGUAAUGAAAUGCCUCCAUUCACUAAAGGCCUGAAAUUGUCCUGACUGCCCCAGUCCCACGGACCAAGAAGAGCCUUUCAAGCUGUGAUCCCAAUACUUGUGGCUGCUGUGAGAAUAAGGAAAGCAGCCUAGGCCUCCAGUGGAAGGAUCAGAUGUUUGCCCUUCAUACCUCAGAGAGCCUUCAUCCAAGUAAGAUGGGUGGUGAGGAGCUGUGGAUGACAGCAUGAAGGAUGAGGACUGAUGCAGCAGCCAUAAUUAGAUUAUAGGUUUCCAUGGGAUGUGCCAUGACUGCUUACAAAUGGGGCCCAGCCAUGGAAUUGAGUUAUCAACUAAGCUGAUUCCUGAGGCACAGAUCAUCCUGUCCUCCACAACAUGAUUAAAGACUACAUGAUGCUCAGGAAGACCUCUGCAGCUGUGUGCUUGGAAGAGUGUGUUUUUCCUGCUAAAGCAUAAGAAAAAAGAGACCAGCAAUUAUCUUAGGCCUUGCAGCAUCCUUUCUGGUCCCACAAGUUUGAGAAGGCAGGUGUGUGUGUGUGUGUGCAUUUGUGUUUGUGUGUGUGCGCACGUCCACAUGCAUGCAUGAUCCUACAAUGGAAGUGAGUACGCAAAAGUUGAUUGCCUAUAUACCCUCCCCACAACCAGGUGUAUAAGAGUAUUCUUUGAGAAUGAGAAAGCAGGAAGGAGCACAUCCCACACCUUAGCAUUCAUGUAGUCAAUUAGGAACUCCUGAGCUCCCAUGACAUGCUAGACCCUGGGCUCAGCACUGGAUCUCAGACAUGUCCCAAACUGGGCGAUGGAAGUGGUGGGAAGCAACCACUCAUGGACAGCUUCCCGUGUGCCAGGAGUGUGCCAGCAUUGACAUUAUGCCGUCUCUCACUCCUGCCCUCCAUCACAUUAGUGAUUCUGCCAUGAGUGACUCGUUCCUUUGGGUUCCUGUUAAGUUCCUGUGGAGGGGUCUAGCCACAGCAGGGGAAAGAGCACCGAGGGAGCUUUUAGGAAACUCUGCUCCAGGUCAGCUGUGUGAUGCUGAAAAAAUGGCUCACCCUCUCUGGACCUGUUUCCUCUUUUGCACAAUAAGAGGGUGGUGUUCUCCAAGGUCUCCUUGAAAAUGCGACUUAUCCUUGGUCAUCACUUUGCAGAGGGCAGGUCCUGUCCCCAAGCCCACCAGAGUGGAGCUGGGAAAAGUUCCAUGGUGAAGAAAAGGCAGGGGACACAACUCUGAGAGUCAUUCCUUUGAAGAUUGAGCCCAGAGGGCUCAGUUUCUGGAUUGCAUGGGGCACUUUGUCUCUCUCUGCUGGAG